AACGACUUCCAUUUCAUUUCUACUAGCAAUUUUAUUCAUAAUUUUUUUAAAAAAUAUUACAAGUUUUAUACAUCUUUGCCAAAUAUGAAUAUUUCUAAUUCAAUUCCCCAUUAUCAAACUCCACCUACAACCUAUCUACGGAGCCUCUAAAUACAACUGAAGAAUAAUAUGGAAAUGCCGGCAACAAGGCUUCGGUUAUACCUCAAAUACAAUGUACAUGAUAAAUAGAUGAAACAGGACCCCGAAAUGAAGUGAGGCUCACCAAGUCAGCUGAAAGGAUGAUGUGGCAUUAGCUGCGACCAAUAGUGCCUGCUAUAGAAACACCUACAUCCAUUUAAAGACGUAGCGCCCCCGACAAAAGGGACGUUUGUGCCAUCGAAUAGCACUAGUAUGUAUCACUAAAUACCAUCUCAUUAGAAAGAACAACCAUAUAAGGACAAAGAAAUCAUAACGAUUUAACAAAAGUUUUAAACAAACACUACAUCAUCAAAUAAAAGGAAUCACAUAGCUUUCACAUAAUUUCCAUAGCUUUAGUUUGGGGAUUUUAAUACUGUUCAUCAUCAUUCACAAUACAACCGCUUUCUUGAGCGGAGUCCGAUCACGGCCCGAUUGGCUAAGCCGUCUUACAAGACGUUACCCUUAUUUCAGUCUCACUUUCCAUUUUCAAUUAUAAUUGCAUUACCACCAUGUGUGUAUAAUAUGGCGUCCGAUCACUGCCCGAUGGCUAAGAUGUCUCACCAAGACGUUACCCUUUUCCAUUAACCAUCUCACUUCAAUCUUUGGUUUCACAUGUAUUAGUUCAUCGGCACUAGAGGCCACAAUUAUCACAUCAUACUUGGCACUAGGCCAUAUUUCAUAACUCUCAUUGCGCAUCACUUUCACUUUCAACAUCAAACUUAUAAUUUAAGAUAAUUGGCACAUACAAGAGCAAUUCAAGUUAUAAUCAUAGAGAGGAAUUCUCAUGAUUCAGCAUAAUAAUCACAAUAUAACUUGACUUGAAAUCUAGGCAGUUUAGCGUAUAGUUCACAUUCUUCACAUAUCCCCAAUUACCAAGAAUAACACAUUGAACAUAUUGGUAUCACACCUCCUUUUUUUCUACCCCGGAAAGGUAUAAGGGAGUUUUUUUCCAACUUAAAGUGACAAUCGAAACGGGAUCAUUUUCUUUAAAGAUUCAGAGUUGCCACUUGGGAUAAUUGUAUGGUAUCUCAAGUCAUCGGUUCAAAUCCUGAAUCGAGGAAAAGAUUGACUCUGUUUUACAGUAUGCGAACAUAGAGAUCCGGGUAAGGAAUUCUAUUAACCCGGGAAAAGGUGUUAAGCAUUUCCGGAUUCCGUGGUUCUAGCAAGGUCGCUCAACUGUUAUAAUUGGCCCACUAUCUGAUUUUAAUACAUGUUUUAACAUAUGGUACAAUUUUUACUUUAUACCCGCUUUUAUUCCAUUAUCAUUUUUAGGGAAAUAUUCAACGUCAUAUAAAACACGUCUUGAACCACGUCACAUAAAUGCACCCGCGGUCUACGAUACAUUUCAUCUAAUGUUGUUGAGAUUUGGAUUUGGGUCACAUAAAUGCACACCCGAGUUUUAGAAAUUAAGUUUCUUAACCACGUCACGGGAACCAUACCCAUAGCUACGAUAAAUUAUUUAAUUAACGCGCCUAAAGCAAGCUACGAUAUUCAUAAGUAGUUUAUAAAUGAUGGGCUAUUAGUGGGACCUAACAAAAAACUUCCCAUUUUGUUAAUUAAUCUUCACCAAACCGAAUCCCAUGAACCCAAAAUAUAAUGGCUCUUUUAAUUAGUGCUAAAAUACAAUGGCUUGUAUCCUGCAAUCACAUAAUGGAAAAGUUAUUUAUUUUCAUUCUAAAAAUUACUAUAUGGGCCCAUAAGAAAUUAAAUCUCACCGCAAAAUUAUAUUCCAAAAUUUUCCCUACCUAACAUGUACAAAUUAAACAACAAAGUAAAAUGAUGAAAUCAACCAAACCAACCUUUCAUUAAUUCAUUAAUCACUCUCACUAUUCCGAUAUACUAAAUUAAUAACGAAAUGACAAUAGACCAAACCCAUUCAUUAUACUAUGGACAAAAAUUUUCAUAGUAAACCAUGGAAACACAAGAGAUGAGCAAGUAUAAUUUUAAAUAACCAUUUAUCAUGCUAGUUUAGAAUAAACAAUAAUAGGCAUACAUCCAAAAGUUUAGCAUAAGAUUUAAUAUUAAUAUUAUAUCCCAACAACUCAAGACCAGUUCAUUUUUCAUGUUCCAAAUUGAAAAGGCAGCGAUUCAAACAUAGCAAAUCCUUAUACAAAUUCAGGUUUCCCUUAAAGCUUUAAAAAGAACAUACAUGGAUUUCCAAGCAGAGACCAAAUGAAGAUGUCAAAUUCUGAAACAGAACCAUGAACUACGAAUGAAACUAAUGAACAGACGAUCUCGUCGGACUCGAACUUGAACCGGCGACUGACCUGGACCUCAACCUCAGUUUCCCAUUUUCCUACUCUAUUUUUCUAGCUAUCGUGCAUGUGUUUGUGAUCUUUUGAGAAGAAGAGAAGGUUGGUUUCCUUUUUUUCUAAUGAGAGAACGAGAGCUUUCAAAAAUUGGGGGUGCCGCUAGCUUUUAAAAUCUGAAGAGGAAGCUUCUUCAAGUUCUGUCUAAAUAGGAACCAUAAAAUACACUUCCUAUUCACAAAUGCCCCUUCCCAUUUU
This 2684-nucleotide long non-coding RNA is filed under the name Nicotiana tabacum (common tobacco). RNAcentral describes it as "long non-coding RNA (NTAB_LNC010440)". Lineage: Eukaryota; Viridiplantae; Streptophyta; Magnoliopsida; Solanales; Solanaceae. The record is from RNAcentral.